AAGAUGAGGUUCCUGAGCUUCCAGUAGGCGACUGACUGCCCAAGAGACCCAGGGCUCCGCAAGGAGACGGCGCAGGUGUCGGGGCUCCCCGCAGGCCGGGAAAAAGUGUCCGAACGCCUCGUGGACUGCAGCGGGGGAAAUGUCCCUUAAAAGUGCGACGAAGUGGGGAAGAAGGUGUAAUUACUAUUAUCAGCAUCUAGAAAGCAUCAUGAAUUUGCUGGAGUACUUCCUAGCACUGACCUCCUUCAUUCUGCGUUGUUCUUACUGGAUCUUUCCAUCAGCCAACAAUAUGGAAGUACCAAUACAAGGUCAAAUCAUUCCUGGAUUCAUCUGGAGUUGCUUAAAAGUUAAAUCAUUGGAAUUUUUGAUGAUACCUUUUCUAUAUGGAUUACAAUUUGAUCGCUGGGAAUUCUCCACCUUAAAGAAGUACCCUCAGGUGACUACAGAUGUGUUAACACCCAGCAUGUUCCGGUAGGAGACUUUCUGGAUGGGGAAGAUUUCCAGGUGUGAAUCAUGGCAAUACAGUGAAAGACAGUGAUUUACUGCUUUUGAGGGCGUGCAUGUAUAUGAUUAACGGAUGGAAGUGCAGGACUCCAAGAUUUACUUCCUUCCCUUUCCAGCAGAAUUACCUGAGACGAGUAAAAUCUACUGGUGGAGUCACUCCAUUAUUCUUAUCUGUGGAGAUCUAGAUCUUGAUUUGAAAGUUUCUGAGAAAAUCUUCAGCUCAGACUUGAGGGUCAACUUUACCAGCUGAAGGAUCUGCAUUUACUGCUCAACCACAUCUAAUUUGAUGUCCUCUGCAGAUUUAAAAUGUGUGCCUUCUUUUCCGUCACCAAGUCAUCCCUGGGUUACUACUGAACAUCCUUCUCAAUUCCCCCCGACCCAUGGAUGGCUGUUCUCCAUUGUCUGUUUCACCAGAUGUCCUCAAAACAAACAGACAGAAGAAGGAAGUGGCUAAUGACCCAAUCUAAUCUAGGUGGGAGAGAAAGUAAA
This 993-nucleotide long non-coding RNA is filed under the name Homo sapiens (human). RNAcentral's name for it is "non-protein coding CASC15:30". Lineage: Eukaryota; Metazoa; Chordata; Mammalia; Primates; Hominidae. The record is from RNAcentral.